GAUCUAAUACUUAACAUUACUACUACUAAUGGAUCUUAUACUUAACAUCACUAGUUUUUUACUUCUUUUAAAAGGGUAAUCUUGUGGUAGAUUUGAAAAUUUGACCAUAUUUCCACAAAUAACAUAGAAAGGAGUUACUAUUUACCUAUAAAAAUAUAUUGGUUAUGUGCAAUAGACAAAUGUCAGGUUAUUAAUAUAAAAAAUUAAUCAUUAUUUAUUGAUUGAAAAUAAUG
RNAcentral lists this long non-coding RNA (233 nucleotides) under Carica papaya (papaya). Its description in RNAcentral is "long non-coding RNA (CPAP_LNC004691)". Lineage: Eukaryota; Viridiplantae; Streptophyta; Magnoliopsida; Brassicales; Caricaceae. The record is from RNAcentral.